Tachyglossus aculeatus (Australian echidna) is the source of this 138-nucleotide small nucleolar RNA. The record is from RefSeq and is a predicted model, not a curated record. NCBI's taxonomy places the organism in Eukaryota, Metazoa, Chordata, Mammalia, Monotremata, Tachyglossidae.
CCCCUCUCAGGGUCACAUCUGGAGAGUUUCCGGUGCUCUACCAGUCUCUACUAGAGGAGGGAGAGUCAGGCAGGGGUAUAUCCAUUCCAUUGCUAGCUUGGGCAGUAGCUGGCAAGUGGAAGGCAAUCUGCUACAAGU